RNAcentral lists this ribosomal RNA (486 nucleotides) under uncultured bacterium. RNAcentral describes it as "bacterial SSU rRNA". It matches the Rfam family "Bacterial small subunit ribosomal RNA", at positions 998 to 1483 of the family's 1533-position model. The record is from RNAcentral.
UUUCAGAGAUGAAUUCGUGUCCGAAAGGAAAUCUGAACACAGGUGCUGCAUGGCUGUCGUCAGCUCGUGUCGUGAGAUGUUGGGUUAAGUCCCGCAACGAGCGCAACCCUUGUCAUUAAUUGCCAUCAUUUAGUUGGGCACUUUAAUGAGACUGCCGGUGACAAACCGGAGGAAGGUGGGGAUGACGUCAAGUCCUCAUGGCCCUUAUGGGUAGGGCUUCACACGUAAUACAAUGGCGCGUACAGAGGGUUGCCAACCCGCGAGGGGGAGCCAAUCUCAGAAAGCGCGUCGUAGUCCGGAUCGGAGUCUGCAACUCGACUCCGUGAAGUCGGAAUCGCUAGUAAUCGCGGAUCAGCAUGUCGCGGUGAAUACGUUCCCGGGUCUUGUACACACCGCCCGUCACACCAUGGGAGUGGGUUUCACCAGAAGCAGGUAGUCUAACCGUAAGGAGGGCGCCUGCCACGGUGAGAUUCAUGACUGGGGUGA